Molecule: long non-coding RNA, 243 nt
Filed under: Elaeis guineensis (African oil palm)
Lineage: Eukaryota; Viridiplantae; Streptophyta; Magnoliopsida; Arecales; Arecaceae
Description: long non-coding RNA (EGUI_LNC056605)
Source: RNAcentral
AGCUAAGUUCUUAAGUCUAUGGUCAUAUCAGUAUGAUUAAUAAAAAAAUUUAUUAGAAUCACAUAUGGACUCGAGCUAAUUGAAUCUAUCAUAUGAUCGAUGAUGAGAUUUGACGAUUCAUCCAUGACUUGCCAUCUGGUCGGGACUUACGAUAGAGGGACUGUAUCAUACGUUAACUGCACCUAGAGGUUCAUCACUUUUUAUUCUGUUGAAUUAUCACUAUAUAUUGCUAGAUGUCACAGA